Molecule: ribosomal RNA, 253 nt
Filed under: uncultured bacterium
Lineage: Bacteria
Description: partial 16S ribosomal RNA
Rfam family: Bacterial small subunit ribosomal RNA
Source: RNAcentral
UACGUAGGAGGCGAGCGUUGUCCGGAAUCACUGGGUGUAAAGCGCGUGUAGGCGGCCUGCCAAGUCUGCUGUGAAAGCGCCUGGCUUAACCGGGCGAGGUCGGUGGAUACUGCAGGGCUAGAGUCCGGAAGAGGCGAGUGGAAUUCCUGGUGUAGCGGUGAAAUGCGCAGAUAUCAGGAGGAACACCGGUGGCGAAGGCGGCUCACUGGUCCGGUACUGACGCUGAGGUGCGAAAGCGUGGGGAGCAAACAGG